UGAGCAAUCUGCCCUUCUCUUCGGAAUAAGCGUUGGAAACGACGUCUAAUGCCGAAUACGACCUCCUUUCGCAUGAUCGGAGGUGGAAAGCUCCGGCGGAGAAGGAUGAGCUCGCGGCCUAUCAGCUAGUUGGUGUGGGUAAUGGCCCACCAAGGCGACGACGGGUAGCCGGCCUGAGAGGGUGACCGGCCACACUGGGACUGAGACACGGUCCAGACCUCCGUACGGGAGGCAGCG
Molecule: ribosomal RNA, 237 nt
Filed under: uncultured bacterium
Lineage: Bacteria
Description: partial 16S ribosomal RNA
Rfam family: Bacterial small subunit ribosomal RNA
Source: RNAcentral